This 468-nucleotide ribosomal RNA is filed under the name uncultured bacterium. RNAcentral describes it as "partial 16S ribosomal RNA". It matches the Rfam family "Bacterial small subunit ribosomal RNA", at positions 28 to 507 of the family's 1533-position model. The record is from RNAcentral.
GACGAACGCUGGCGGCGUGCUUAACACAUGCAAGUCGAACGGAAAGGCCCUGCUUUUGUGGGGUUCUCGAGUGGCGAACGGGUGAGUAACACGUGAGUAACCUGCCCUUGACUUUGGGAUAACUUCAGGAAACUGGGGCUAAUACCGGAUAGGAGCUCCUGCUGCAUGGUGGGGGUUGGAAAGUUUCGGCGGUUGGGGAUGUACUCGCGGCUUAUCAGCUUGUUGGGGGGGUAGUGGCUUACCAAGGCUUUGACGGGUAGCCGGCCUGAGAGGGUGACCGGCCACAUUGGGACUGAGAUACGGCCCAGACGCCUACGGGAGGCAGCAGUGGGGAAUAUUGCACAAUGGGCGGAAGCCUGAUGCAGCAACGCCGCGUGCGGGAUGACGGCCUUCGGGUUGUAAACCGCUUUCGCCUGUGACGAAGCGUGAGUGACGGUAAUGGGUAAAGAAGCACCGGCUAACUACGUG